Molecule: ribosomal RNA, 468 nt
Filed under: uncultured bacterium
Lineage: Bacteria
Description: partial 16S ribosomal RNA
Rfam family: Bacterial small subunit ribosomal RNA
Source: RNAcentral
GACGAACGCUGGCGGCGUGCUUAACACAUGCAAGUCGAACGGAAAGGCCCUGCUUUUGUGGGGUGCUCGAGUGGCGAACGGGUGAGUAACACGUGAGUAACCUGCCCUUUACUUUGUGAUAACUUCUGGAAACUGGGGCUAAUACCUGAUAUGAUCUCCUGCUGCUUGGUUGUGUUUGGAAAUUUUCGGCGGUUGGGGAUGGUCUCGCGGCUUAUCAGCUUUUUGGUUGGGUAGUGGCUUACCAAGGCUUUGACGGGUAGCCGGCCUGAGAGGGUGACCGGCAACAUUGGGACUGAGAUACGGCACAGACUCCAACGGGAGGCAGCAGUGGGGAAUAGUGCAAAAUGGGCGGAAGCCUGAUGCAGCAACGCAGCGUGCGGGAUGAAGGACUUCGGGUUGUAAACAGAUUUAGACUGUGAAGAAGAGUGAGUGACGGUAAUGGGUAAAGAAGCACCGGCUAACUACGUG